Molecule: ribosomal RNA, 440 nt
Filed under: uncultured bacterium
Lineage: Bacteria
Description: bacterial SSU rRNA
Rfam family: Bacterial small subunit ribosomal RNA
Source: RNAcentral
AAGAGGAGCUUGCUCCUCUGGAUCAGUGGCGAACGGGUGAGUAACACGUGAGUAACCUGCCCCAGACUCUGGGAUAAGCACUGGAAACGGUGUCUAAUACCGGAUACGAGCUUCAGCCGCAUGGCUAGGAGCUGGAAAGAAUUUCGGUCUGGGAUGGACUCGCGGCCUAUCAGCUAGUUGGUGAGGUAACGGCCCACCAAGGCGACGACGGGUAGCCGGCCUGAGAGGGUGACCGGCCACACUGGGACUGAGACACGGCCCAGACUCCUACGGGAGGCAGCAGUGGGGAAUAUUGCACAAUGGGCGCAAGCCUGAUGCAGCAACGCCGCGUGAGGGACGACGGCCUUCGGGUUGUAGACCUCUUUUAGUAGGGAAGAAGCGAAAGUGACGGUACCUGCAGAAAAAGCACCGGCUAACUACGUGCCAGCAGCCGCGGUAAU